Molecule: ribosomal RNA, 300 nt
Filed under: Rhodococcus erythropolis
Lineage: Bacteria; Bacillati; Actinomycetota; Actinomycetes; Mycobacteriales; Nocardiaceae
Description: bacterial SSU rRNA
Rfam family: Bacterial small subunit ribosomal RNA
Source: RNAcentral
CUGGCUCAGGACGAACGCUGGCGGCGUGCUUAACACAUGCAAGUCGAGCGGUAAGGCCUUUCGGGGUACACGAGCGGCGAACGGGUGAGUAACACGUGGGUGAUCUGCCCUGCACUUCGGGAUAAGCCUGGGAAACUGGGUCUAAUACCGGAUAUGACCUCAGGUUGCAUGACUUGGGGUGGAAAGAUUUAUCGGUGCAGGAUGGGCCCGCGGCCUAUCAGCUUGUUGGUGGGGUAAUGGCCUACCAAGGCGACGACGGGUAGCCGACCUGAGAGGGUGACCGGCCACACUGGGACUGAG